Molecule: ribosomal RNA, 932 nt
Filed under: uncultured bacterium
Lineage: Bacteria
Description: bacterial SSU rRNA
Rfam family: Bacterial small subunit ribosomal RNA
Source: RNAcentral
GGGGAAGAACAGGCUAUCUACGGAUAGCCCUUGACGGUACCCCAGGAAGAAGGCCCGGCUAACUACGUGCCAGCAGCCGCGGUAAAACGUAGGGGUCGAGCGUUAUCCGGAAUUACUGGGCGUAAAGCGCGUGCAGGCGGUUCUGAAAGUCGGACGUGAAAGCUCCCGGCCCAACUGGGAGAGGCCGUUCGAAACUAUGGGACUAGAGGAUGGUAGAGGCAAGUGGAAUUCCCGGUGUAGUGGUGAAAUGCGUAGAUAUCGGGAGGAACACCAGCGGCGAAGGCGGCUUGCUGGGCCAUCACUGACGCUCAGACGCGAAAGCCAGGGGAGAGAACGGGAUUAGAAACCCCGGUAUUCCUGGCUGUAAACGAUGUCAACUAGGUGUAGGGGGUAACCAAUCCCUCUGUGCUGCCGCAAACGCAAUAAGUUGACCGCCUGGGGAGUACGGCCGCAAGGCUAAAACUCAAAGGAAUUGACGGGGGCCCGCACAAGCAGCGGAGCGUGUGGUUUAAUUCGAGGCUACGCGAAGAACCUUACCAGGGUUUGACAUGAUGGUGGUAGGCUGAGUGAAAGCUAGCCGACACUUCGGUGAGCCAUCACAGGUGCUGCAUGGCUGUCGUCAGCCCGUGCCGUGAGGUGUUAGGUUAAGUCCUGUAACGAGCGCAACCCACGUCGUUAGUUAUACGUGUCUAGCGAGACUGCCGGUGAUAAGCCGGAGGAAGGUGUGGAUGACGUCAAGUCAGCAUGGCCUUUAUAUCCUGGGCUACACACACGCUACAAUGGCCGGUACAAUGGGUCGCGAAGCCGCGAGGUGGAGCCAAUCCCGUAAAGCCGGUCUCAGUUCGGAUUGCAGGCUGCAACUCGCCUGCAUGAAGUCGGAGUUGCUAGUAACCGCAGGUCAGCAACACUGCGGUGAAUACGUUCCCGGGCCU